CGUGUAGGCGGAAUGGAAGGUGCCAUAGUGAAAUCCCUCGGCUCAACCGAGGAACUGCUUGGCAAACCAUCAUUCUUGAGACAGGCAGAGGCGACUGGAACGUUCGGUGGAGCGGUGAAAUGCGUAGAGAUCGAACGGAACACCAGUGGCGAAGGCGGGUCGCUGGGCCUGUUCUGACGCUGAGACGCGAAAGCGUGGGUAGCAAACA
This 208-nucleotide ribosomal RNA is filed under the name uncultured bacterium. Its description in RNAcentral is "partial 16S ribosomal RNA". It matches the Rfam family "Bacterial small subunit ribosomal RNA", at positions 568 to 774 of the family's 1533-position model. The record is from RNAcentral.